Molecule: ribosomal RNA, 468 nt
Filed under: uncultured bacterium
Lineage: Bacteria
Description: partial 16S ribosomal RNA
Rfam family: Bacterial small subunit ribosomal RNA
Source: RNAcentral
GACGAACGCUGGCGGCGUGCUUAACACAUGCAAGUCGAACGGAAAGGCCCUGCUUUUGCGGGGUGCUCGAGUGGCGAACGGGUGAGUAACACGUGAGUAUCCUGCCCUUGACUUUGGGAUAACUUCAGGAAACUGGGGCUCAUACCCGAUAGGAGCUCCUGCUGCAUGGUGGGGGUUGGAAAGUUUCGGCGGUUGGGGAUGGACUCGCGGCUUAUCCGCUUGUUGGUGGGGUAGUGGCUUACGAAGGGUUUGACGGGUAGCCGGCCUGGGAGGGUGACCGGCGACAAGGGGACUGAGAUAGGGACCAGAAGCGUACGGGAGGCAGCGGGGGGGAAUAUUGCGGAGUGGGCGGAAGCGUGAGGCAGCGACGCCGCGUGCGGGAUGACGGCUUUCGAGGUGUAAACCACUGUGGACGGUGACGAAGCGGGAGUGACGGUAAUGGGUAAGAAAGCAACGGCUAACUACGUG